GACUUUACCUGGCAGGGGAGAUACCAUGAUCACGAAGGUGGUUUUCCCAGGGCGAGGCUUAUCCAUUGCACUCCGGAUGUGCUGACCCCUGUGAUUUCCCCAAAUGUGGGAAACUCGACUGCAUAAUUUGUGGUAGUGGGGGACUGCGUUCAUGCUCUCCCCUG
Molecule: small nuclear RNA, 164 nt
Organism: Myotis lucifugus (little brown bat)
Lineage: Eukaryota; Metazoa; Chordata; Mammalia; Chiroptera; Vespertilionidae
Gene: U1
Rfam family: U1 spliceosomal RNA
About the family: U1 is a small nuclear RNA (snRNA) component of the spliceosome (involved in pre-mRNA splicing).
Source: Ensembl